GGUUAAUACCCUGUGUAGAUGACGGUACCGGAAUAAGAAGCACCGGCUAACUACGUGCCAGCAGCCGCGGUAAUACGUAGGGUGCGAGCGUUAAUCGGAAUUACUGGGCGUAAAGCGUGCGCAGGCGGUUUUGUAAGACAGGCGUGAAAUCCCCGGGCUCAACCUGGGAACUGCGUUUGUGACUGCAAGGCUAGAGUAUGGCAGAGGGGGGUGGAAUUCCACGUGUAGCAGUGAAAUGCGUAGAGAUGUGGAGGAACACCGAUGGCGAAGGCAGCCCCCUGGGCCAAUACUGACGCUCAUGCACGAAAGCGUGGGUAGCAAACAGGAUUAGAUACCCUGGUAGUCCACGCCCUAAACGAUGUCAACUAGGUGUUGGGAGGGUAAAACCUUUUAGUGCCGUAGCUAAC
This 407-nucleotide ribosomal RNA is filed under the name uncultured bacterium. RNAcentral describes it as "bacterial SSU rRNA". It matches the Rfam family "Bacterial small subunit ribosomal RNA", at positions 447 to 856 of the family's 1533-position model. The record is from RNAcentral.